GGGGAAAUAGCUCAGUUGGUUAGAGUGCUGGUCUGUCACGCCAGAAGUCGCGGGUUCGAACCCGUUUUCCCUG
RNAcentral lists this transfer RNA (73 nucleotides) under Triticum dicoccoides. RNAcentral describes it as "tRNA tRNA-Asp". It matches the Rfam family "tRNA". Rfam says of the family: Transfer RNA (tRNA) molecules are approximately 80 nucleotides in length. The record is from RNAcentral. Lineage: Eukaryota; Viridiplantae; Streptophyta; Magnoliopsida; Poales; Poaceae.